AUGACACGCUUCCGUAACACCCUCAAUACCUGUGAGCUGAAAGAAAUACACCUACAAAACAGGAAGUACACUUGGAGUAAUGAGCAAAGUGAUCCAACCUUAUGCAAACUCGAUUCGUUUUUCUGCAAUGAAGAUUGGGACAUCGACUUUGGCAGUCAUCUACUUCAUGCCCUCUCUUCAUCCCUCUCUAACCAUUGCCCUCUCCUCCUCGCAAAUGUCCAAGGGCCACCUAAGUCAAAGUAUUUCCGCUUUGAGAAUUUCUGGACUAAAAUGCCCAUAUUCAAGGAGAUCGUUCAAGGCGCUUGGAACCAAAGGGUGAACCACUCUGACCCCUAUCAGAUCCUAUUCCACAAGCACAAGAAAACCAGCCAAGCACUAAGGAAAUGGAGCAAGACGAUUUUUGCACACUCAAAGGUGCAGCUGUUCAUGGCUCUGGAGGUCAUUCUCCGCCUAGAUGUGGCACAAGAGCUCAGGCCUCUCAGUGUGGAGGAGCGUGACAUU
RNAcentral lists this ribosomal RNA (501 nucleotides) under Triticum aestivum (bread wheat). RNAcentral describes it as "partial small subunit ribosomal RNA". The record is from RNAcentral. Lineage: Eukaryota; Viridiplantae; Streptophyta; Magnoliopsida; Poales; Poaceae.